Molecule: ribosomal RNA, 119 nt
Filed under: Pteropus alecto (black flying fox)
Lineage: Eukaryota; Metazoa; Chordata; Mammalia; Chiroptera; Pteropodidae
Source: RNAcentral
GUCUACGGCCAUGCCACCCUGAACAAGCCCGAUCUCGUCUGAUCUUGGAAGCUUAAGCAGGUCGGGCCUGGUUAGUACUUAGAUAGGAGACCACCUAGAAAGACCAGAUGCUGUAGGCA